UACAGAGGUCUAAAGCGUUGUUCGGAUUCAUAGGGCGUAAAGAGUGCGUAGGCGGCGCGGUAAGUCGGGUGUGAAAUCUCGGAGCUUAACUCCGAAACUGCAUUCGAUACUGCCGUGCUUGAGGACUGGAGAGGAGACUGGAAUUUACGGUGUAGCGGUGAAAUGCGUAGAUAUCGUAAGGAAGACCAGUGGCGAAGGCGGGUCUCUGGACAGUUCCUGACGCUGAGGCACGAAGGUCAGGGGAGCAAACGGG
This 253-nucleotide ribosomal RNA is filed under the name uncultured bacterium. RNAcentral describes it as "partial 16S ribosomal RNA". It matches the Rfam family "Bacterial small subunit ribosomal RNA", at positions 524 to 776 of the family's 1533-position model. The record is from RNAcentral.